This 516-nucleotide ribosomal RNA is filed under the name uncultured marine bacterium. RNAcentral's name for it is "bacterial SSU rRNA". It matches the Rfam family "Bacterial small subunit ribosomal RNA", at positions 9 to 514 of the family's 1533-position model. The record is from RNAcentral.
GAGUUUGAUCAUGGCUCAGAUUGAACGCUGGCGGUAUGCUUAACACAUGCAAGUCGAACGGUAACGGCUCUAGCUUGCUAGAGGCUGACGAGUGGCGGACGGGGUGAGUAACGCGUAGGAAUCUGCCCAUCAGUAGAGGAUAACUCGAGGAAACUCGGGCUAAUACUGUAUAUUACUCUACGGAGGAAAGUAAGGGACCUUAUGGCCUUACGCUGAUGGAUGAGCCUGCGUCGGAUUAGCUAGUUGGUGGGGUAAAGGCCCACCAAGGCGACGAUCCGUAGCUGUUCUGAGAGGAAGAUCAGCCACACUGGGACUGAGACACGGCCCAGACUCCUACGGGAGGCAGCAGUGGGGAAUAUUGGACAAUGGGGGCAACCCUGAUCCAGCAAUACCGCGUGUGUGAAGAAGGCCUGCGGGUUGUAAAGCACUUUCGUUAGGGAGGAAGGCCUAUUUGUUAAUAGCAGAUAGGAUUGACGUUACCUAAAGAAGAAGCACCGGCUAACUCUGUGCCAGCAG